GCCAACUGGUUCACUAGCAUGGCUGUGGAGCAGCAGAAAACAGAGGGAGGCCAACUGGUUCACUAGCAUGGCUGUGGAGCAGCAGAAAACAGAGGGAGGCCAACUGGUUCACUAGCAUGGCUGUGGAGAAGCAGAAAACAGAGGGAGGUUCACUAGCAUGGCUGUGGAGCAGCAGAAAACAGAGGGAGGUUCACUAGCAUGGCUGUGGAGCAGCAGAAAACAGAGGGAGGCCAACUGGUUCACUAGCAUGGCUGUGGAGAAGCAGAAAACAGAGGGAGGUUCACUAGCAUGGCUGUGGAGCAGCAGAAAACAGAGGGAGGCCAACUGGUUCAAUAGCAUGGCUGUGGAGCAGCAGAAAACAGAGGGAGGCCAACUUGUUCACUAGCAUGGCUGUGGAGCAGCAGAAAACAGAGGGAGGCCAACUGGUUCACUAGCAUGGAUGUGGAGCAGCAGCAAACAGAGGGAGGCCAACUGGUUCACUAGCAUGGCUGUGGAGCAGCAGAAAACAGAGGGA
Molecule: long non-coding RNA, 514 nt
Organism: Oncorhynchus tshawytscha (Chinook salmon)
Lineage: Eukaryota; Metazoa; Chordata; Actinopteri; Salmoniformes; Salmonidae
Source: Ensembl